AUGGUCCAGGCGCUGCACAAACACGCAGUUGUUCUGACCCAGUCCGGUCCUGAAGUGAAGAAGCCCGGAGAAUCCACCCAGCUGAAAUGCGCCGUGAGCGGGUUUGUUCCUAAUGACUGGUGGAUGGAUUGGGUCAGACAGCUGCCGGGAAAGGGACUGGAGUGGCUGGUUCACUAUCGACAAUCUUCAGUCACGAAUUACUACUCCUCCUCCAUCCAGGGGCGAUUCACAGCCUCCAAGGACAGCGCCAACUUCUACCUGCAAAUGACAGGCCUGAAACCCGAGGACACCGCCAUGUAUUACUGCGCGAGACACACAAGGCGCCAGCAGAAGGUCAUCUCCAGCUACCGAGCCCCACCUAAGCCUCCU
This is a non-coding RNA of Chrysemys picta bellii (western painted turtle), 369 nucleotides long. Lineage: Eukaryota; Metazoa; Chordata; Testudines; Emydidae. The record is from the annotation of a RefSeq genome assembly.